GUGUGUGUGUGCGCCUAUUUGUAACUGCAGGAUGUAGGAGACUCAGGCUGCAAGAUGGUUCAUUUUGCUCAGAUCUGGGAAAAGGCUCCCGGAACAGGAUACUGAAGGACAGAAAGGCACUGACUACAAUGGCGUAUCCCCAUAGAGGAUUCUAGUAUUCAUCUCCAGAACACUGGGGCUUGAAUUUAUUAUUCAUUUAUUUAUUGUGGAAAAUCAACUGCUAUUUCUGAUCAGUCCAGUAACUGUGGUAAAAUUGUAGCUAUUUCACAUAGCUGUAUGGUGGAAAAUUUUAAGGCUUCUAUUUCAAAAAAAUGAGACUGAAGCAAGAAACUCAGUCUUUGGAACACUUGACAUAAAGAGAGACCCUCUACAUAAUAAAGCAGUGCUUCUCAUGCCUGCACCCCAGGUCAUUUGAAGACUUAGUGCUGAAGCUUAGCAGGCGCUCCUGACUGGCCCGUCGGUGGACUCCCCGAUGCUGUCAGGGAACGUUUCUGGCUACAGGUCACGUGAUACACUAUUGUGUGACCCUGUAUACUCAUGAAACAGGAACAUAGGGAGUUGACAGGAUUAUUAAAUCCACAGGCAGAGAUGAACUAAUGAUUCAGGCUUUGUCCCUCUGUCCUUCGUCCCCUCUUCUGUGUCCUCACAUACCAUGGGGGCGGAGAGUCCAUGUAAUUCUUUUAUUAAGGAUGGAGACUUCCCAAACCCCUUAAUUUUCUUCCCUACAAGUCUCAUUGGCCAGAGUGGUGUGACAUGCUGUUUCUUUAGCCAAUCACUUUCAAAAGCCACAGGAGUUACCAAGAAUAGCUCAGCCUAUCUCAAGAUCCUACAAUAGAUUUUGUUAUAACUGCUUCUAUCCUGGAGAUAAUUCUAUAUUCAAAACCCUGGUCUUAAUGGAAUAAUUCUUUAAUUUAAAAAAAGUAUAGUAAUUGCCUCUCCAAAUCUGUAGAUUCUUCAUGCAGAAUGUCAGCCAAAUGUAAAUUAAAAAAUACUAAAAAUUCUUAUGUCUCUACUGAACACAUACAGACUUCACUAUUCUUUCAUGAUUGUCUAAAUCAUUCAGUAUCACAAUGAUCUAAACACUGUUUACCCUGAAUUAGGUAGCAUGAGUUAGCCACAUGAAGUAUACAGAAAGAUGUGUUCAAGAUGCACACAAUGACAGUACCAUUUCUUAUUAGGAAAGCUAGCGUCUGCUUAUUUCAGGAUCUGAGGGGCUGGAGUGUCCUGUGACAGAUCCCCCAGGGGCUUGGAAGAACUCCUGCAUUUUAUAAUAUAGAACAUAUGCUUUAAAAAGAGGAAAAACAUCACCCAGCAUUGGGCACACACUUCAGUGUCAUUCUGUUAGACCCCAAAGUUUUGUAAGCAUAGCAACUUGUACAUAUUGUGUGGAUACAAACUAGAAUGUAGAAUAAUGUCUGUGGCACAGAGAACUCCCCCAGUCAGCACUGGAGAGCAGAUCCUCAUUCCUUACUUAUCCUAGGGCUUGGUGUCUCCUUCAUAGCCUGAUGUUCCGGAGCCCUCCUACAUAAACUUUCUUCCAGCCUUGGGUGAGUAUGCAGGAUGCACCGCCACAUGCCUCAGCCUGUCCUUAGCCUUGUUUCGUCCCUGUCAUCACUCCUGACGUUCUGUCUUCUCCACUCCCUUCUGUAGGACAUGGUCCCAUGUGGGGUCACAUCACUGAAGGGGGGCACAAAAAUCUUGGCAACAGUGAAAGUUUUCUGACUGCCUAAAGACCAAAAGUUAAUUCAAAAUCAAGUAUCUAAUGAGUCCAAAGUGUUUCUGACGUCACAAGACUUCCCUGCAACCUUGAAUCUGAACAUAUAUCAUGCUGUGCUGGACUGGCUGCUGUGAUAUGUAAUGCCACAUGCUACCUGAAGCCCUUCAGUUUGACAGUGAGACUGUGUGCUCUGACUGCCGAGCUUUUACUGUAUACACCAAGUUUCCUGUUUCUUAUAGAAGCUUAAUGUCAUAAAACAAAACCUUAUAAUAUUUUCCUUAGUAGUGACAGGUUACCUGGGAAGCGAACUGGAGAGGUGUCCCACUUUGGCUGGAGACUGGCGUCCAUUCUGGAGCACCUAGUACCUGUUCUGAAGGGGCUGACUGCUCUGCUGCUGCCUUGGAUAUCUGAGUUUCUGCAAAGGGCACAAGGUAUUUUGGAGCCGAGAAAGUGAAACAAGACAAUGUGAACGUGAGUGUUCCCAGAAUAAUACCUGGAGUUUUUAGUGACAUUUUCUCCCUUGUUUGUAAGAAGUAUUCCUACAACAUAAAUGCACAGGAGGUUUUCUUUAAAAAUUUUGACUCUCUCGUGUAGUGCUUCUGUUGUUGACAGUAACUCCAACUGCCUUUUGUUUGCUACUGAAGUUCAUACAACAGACUAUGAGCCAAAGUUAGUGAUGAACUGUUUUGAAAGAAUCUCCUAAAAUACACUUGUUUGUAAUGUGUCUUUCUUUUGUGUCUCAGGUGUGAAAUAAUUGGUAUUUUGUGCCCAAUUUGCCUUUUGUAGUGGGAUGUUAUCUACAGCAGCACUUCAGUGUCUUUGUUGGACACAUUUUGGAGCAGAAGUUCCCUGUGUUGCAGUGAGCAAGACUCCUGGAGGCAAGACUUUGCACAUCAUGUCUGUUCUUUUUUCAGACAUCGUGAAAAAACAUCUAAUGUUCCUUUUAGGGCAGAAAAAUCCCAUUAUAAACGUAACAGUUAAUAAAAUCGAUAUUAUCCUCA
Molecule: long non-coding RNA, 2718 nt
Organism: Peromyscus eremicus (cactus mouse)
Lineage: Eukaryota; Metazoa; Chordata; Mammalia; Rodentia; Cricetidae
Exons: 3
Source: RefSeq, a predicted model, not a curated record